Molecule: non-coding RNA, 197 nt
Organism: Pogona vitticeps (central bearded dragon)
Lineage: Eukaryota; Metazoa; Chordata; Lepidosauria; Squamata; Agamidae
Source: RefSeq, a predicted model, not a curated record
GGUGUCCCGGGGAAUCCAGGUGAACGAGGACCUCCAGGGAAGCCGGGUGCAUCUCCUAUCCUUUCUCCCGGUGACAUCAACCUCUUGGUGAAGGAUGUCUGCAGUGACUGUCCCCCUGGGCCUCCCGGUCUUCCCGGAAUGCCAGGAUUCAAAGGUGAUCGAGGCCCUCCAGGCCCCCCUGGACAUGAAGGCCCGGU